GAACGGCUUCUUUUUGCCGCCGGCCCUAAGCUGUCGGCUAUAGGUGCGUCCUGCUGGCGGGGAUGAAACGUUUGCCGCCGAUUACGUCACUCCAAUUUCUUGCGAGAUUUCUUGACUGCUUCAUUUUCUCUGGCGGUUGCCUGGGUCUAAAGCACCGCGGUCGUCCGGCAGCAAGACGUUUUUAAAUACAAGGCUACUCUCAAAAUCGACCGGCCAUGUUGGUUUGGACACACAUUCGCAUCAGUUCGUUGCUCAAUCGCGAGUUACAGCCUGCAGUUUGCUAGCUAGCAAAGUCAUCGACUACCAUCGUUUAAUACACACUGUGGCUAGCAAGUUUUGUGCUGUGUUGCUACUGUACUGGAUUUAAGAUACCUUGGCCAGAGCAUAACCGGUUAUCUUCACCCAAGAGACCUACUGUUGGUCAAUCGUUUUGGUUUUAAAGAAGUUGCAUCGAUUCCAGAAAACCAGAAAAAUGAUGAGCCAUCUGUAGACUUCAGAGCUGAACCAGUUUUCUCCCUAGAGUUUGAGUACAACUCGUCAAGUACUAAGCUUUACACCACCAGCAGCAAAUUUACCCUGGCAGCAUAUGGGUGAAAACUCUGGAGGAGAAAGUCAUCGCUUUGUUAUUGGCCCUUGGACGCCCCUGGCAUCUCGUGUACAGCACAAAGUUUUCAGCUAUGAAGAUUUCCAGUGACUCCAGAAUGAAAACCAAGCUCUGAGGGAGGAGAACCAAGCCCUGAGGGAAUGCAAUGCACAAGCAGGUGAGAAUGUGCACUCUCUUAAAUUUUAGUUCAGAAUUACCAUAUGCCUUUGAUUUUGUAGCUUCGGGUUGACAGCGGCUCACUUCAAGAACAGGUGAAGCAAGUAGGGACAAUGUUGAAGACGUUUGCUCUCACUGGGCAAUCAGGUGCGUUACCUGAAAGGAGCAUCUGAUCGUGAAGGCAGAAAAAGCCGCACAGCUGAGAAGGACCCACGGCCGACCCCUUAAACAUAGGCUGACUACUGACACCCCACCAUCACUGAACUGGAACACUUUCUUUAUCCUGCAUUCAGUAACAUCAAGAAGCUAGAAGUGCCAGACUACACUCACCAAAUCCACCCUGUUUUUUUUUUUGUAUUUUAACUUUAGUAUUGG
This is a long non-coding RNA of Esox lucius (northern pike), 1135 nucleotides long. The record is from Ensembl. NCBI's taxonomy places the organism in Eukaryota, Metazoa, Chordata, Actinopteri, Esociformes, Esocidae.